CCGUCGAUAGCUCAGUUGGUAGAGCGGUGGACUGUAGAAGGCUUCCGUACGGACAUCCAUAGGUCGCUGGUUCAAAUCCGGCUCGACGGA
Molecule: transfer RNA, 90 nt
Filed under: Ixodes scapularis (black-legged tick)
Lineage: Eukaryota; Metazoa; Arthropoda; Arachnida; Ixodida; Ixodidae
Rfam family: tRNA
About the family: Transfer RNA (tRNA) molecules are approximately 80 nucleotides in length. Their secondary structure includes four short double-helical elements and three loops (D, anti-codon, and T loops).
Source: Rfam by way of RNAcentral